RNAcentral lists this ribosomal RNA (253 nucleotides) under uncultured bacterium. RNAcentral describes it as "partial 16S ribosomal RNA". It matches the Rfam family "Bacterial small subunit ribosomal RNA", at positions 524 to 776 of the family's 1533-position model. The record is from RNAcentral.
UACGUAGGGUGCAAGCGUUAAUCGGAAUUACUGGGCGUAAAGCGUGCGCAGGCGGUUUUGUAAGUUUGUUGUGAAAUCCCCGGGCUCAACCUGGGAAUGGCGAUGAAGACUGCAAGGCUAGAAUCUGGCAGAGGGGGGUAGAAUUCCACGUGUAGCAGUGAAAUGCGUAGAGAUGUGGAGGAACACCGAUGGCGAAGGCAGCCCCCUGGGUCAAGAUUGACGCUCAUGCACGAAAGCGUGGGGAGCAAACAGG